UACGGGGGGAGCAAGCGUUGUUCGGAUUUACUGGGCGUAAAGGGCGCGUAGGCGGCCACCGCAAGUCAAUUGUGAAAUCUCCGGGCUUAACUCUGAAAGGUCAACUGAUACUGCGGGGCUAGAGUGCGGAAGGGGCAACUGGAAUUCUCGGUGUAGCGGUGAAAUGCGUAGAUAUCGAGAGGAACACCUGCGGCGAAGGCGGGUUGCUGGGCCGACACUGACGCUGAUGCGCGAAAGCCAGGGGAGCGAACGGG
Molecule: ribosomal RNA, 254 nt
Filed under: uncultured bacterium
Lineage: Bacteria
Description: partial 16S ribosomal RNA
Rfam family: Bacterial small subunit ribosomal RNA
Source: RNAcentral